Molecule: ribosomal RNA, 253 nt
Filed under: uncultured bacterium
Lineage: Bacteria
Description: partial 16S ribosomal RNA
Rfam family: Bacterial small subunit ribosomal RNA
Source: RNAcentral
UCCGUAGGGUGCGAGCGUUAAUCGGAAUUACUGGGCGUAAAGCGUGCGCAGGCGGUGAUGUAAGACCGAUGUGAAAUCCCCGGGCUUAACCUGGGAACUGCAUUGGUGACUGCAUUGCUGGAGUAUGGCAGAGGGGGGUGGAAUUCCACGUGUAGCAGUGAAAUGCGUAGAGAUGUGGAGGAACACCGAUGGCGAAGGCAGCCCCCUGGGCCAAUACUGACGCUCAUGCACGAAAGCGUGGGGAGCAAACAGG